This 230-nucleotide long non-coding RNA is filed under the name Rosa chinensis. RNAcentral describes it as "sRNA RchiOBHm_Chr1g0340071". The record is from RNAcentral. Lineage: Eukaryota; Viridiplantae; Streptophyta; Magnoliopsida; Rosales; Rosaceae.
GCUAUGGGUUUGGCAAGGAUUUUUGGUGAAGAAGGCCAAGGAGAAGGAAUAGGACGUGAUUUUUGAAGAAGAAAGGGUAAGGAAUGGGUUUUGGACAAACCCUAGAAUUUUUGGAAUUUAUUUGGUUGAUUUUGAUUAUGUUGAGCUAUUGUUGUUGUUGGAAAAAUUGUGAAAAAUAGAGAUUUGAGGAUGGUUUAAUUAGUAGGAUUUUAUUAGCAUAAUUUUCAUAG